AAAGGUAGCAUAAUCAGUUGGCUUUUAAUUAGAGUCUGGUAUGAAUGAAAAUAUGGGUGGUAGCUGUCUUAGCAUAUUAAUUUGAAUUUAUUAAGCAAGUGCAAAUACUUGCAAAUUUCAAAAAGACGAGAAGACCCUAGAAACUUAAAAUAGAUUUUGUUGGGGCGACAGAAUUACAUUUAACUAAUUUUAAGAGAUAUGACAUAUUAUUGAAAGAAUAAGUUACUCUAGGGAUAACAGCAUAAUUUUAACAGUUUGUGACCUCGAUGUUGG
This 273-nucleotide ribosomal RNA is filed under the name Helix cincta. Its description in RNAcentral is "partial 16S ribosomal RNA". It matches the Rfam family "Archaeal large subunit ribosomal RNA", at positions 2029 to 2604 of the family's 2987-position model. Lineage: Eukaryota; Metazoa; Mollusca; Gastropoda; Stylommatophora; Helicidae. The record is from RNAcentral.